Long non-coding RNA from Humulus lupulus (European hop), 245 nucleotides. RefSeq lists it as uncharacterized. NCBI's taxonomy places the organism in Eukaryota, Viridiplantae, Streptophyta, Magnoliopsida, Rosales, Cannabaceae. The record is from RefSeq and is a predicted model, not a curated record. The transcript has 3 exons.
AAUGAGCUGAAAUCGGAUAUUACUAUUCCUCAUGAUGUCAUUAUGAAAUUCAAUCAAUUUUGGAACGAGUUUAAGGAUACCCCUUUGAAAGGGAGAAAUGCAAUAUUACAAGGUGUUUGUCCACAAAUUUUUGGACUCUUCACUGUAAAGCUUGCAGUUGCAUUAACACUUAUUGGAGGUGUGCAACAUGUUGAUGCUUCUGGAACCAAGGUAUGAGGAGAGUCUCAUUUACUUUUGGUUGGAGA